Molecule: ribosomal RNA, 461 nt
Filed under: uncultured bacterium
Lineage: Bacteria
Description: partial 16S ribosomal RNA
Rfam family: Bacterial small subunit ribosomal RNA
Source: RNAcentral
AGCGAACGCUGGCGGCAGGCCUAAUGCAUGCAAGUCGAACGGCUCUUCGGAGCAGUGGCGGACGGGUGAGUAACACGUGGGAACGUGCCCUUUGGUACGGAACAACUGAGGGAAACUUCAGCUAAUACCGUAUGUGCCCCCAUUCUUAGCGGGAUGGGUGGGAAAGAUUUAUCGCCAUUGGAGCGGCUCGCGUUGGAUUAGCUAGUUGGUGGGGUAAAGGCCCACCAAGGCUACGAUCCAUAGCUGGUCUGAGAGGAUGAUCAGCCACACUGGACUGAGACACGGCCCAGACUCCUACGGGAGGCAGCAGUAGGGAAUCUUGCGCAAUGGGCGAAAGCCUGACGCAGCCAUGCCGCGUGAAUGAUGAAGGUCUUAGGAUUGUAAAAUUCUUUCACCGGGGAAGAUAAUGACGGUACCCGGAGAAGAAGCCCCGGCUAACUUCGUGCCAGCCGCCGCCGUAA